AUUUAAGUAGUUUAAUUUAAAACAUUGAUUUGUGGAGUCAAUAAUAUAAAAAUUUAUCUUAGAUA
This 65-nucleotide transfer RNA is filed under the name Empria sp. RNAcentral's name for it is "tRNA-His". It matches the Rfam family "tRNA". Rfam says of the family: Transfer RNA (tRNA) molecules are approximately 80 nucleotides in length. Their secondary structure includes four short double-helical elements and three loops (D, anti-codon, and T loops). Further hydrogen bonds mediate the characteristic L-shaped molecular structure. tRNAs have two regions of fundamental functional importance: the anti-codon, which is responsible for specific mRNA codon recognition, and the 3' end, to which the tRNAs corresponding amino acid is attached (by aminoacyl-tRNA synthetases). tRNAs cope with the degeneracy of the genetic code in two manners: having more than one tRNA (with a specific anti-codon) for a particular amino acid; and 'wobble' base-pairing, i.e. permitting non-standard base-pairing at the 3rd anti-codon position. The record is from RNAcentral. Lineage: Eukaryota; Metazoa; Arthropoda; Insecta; Hymenoptera; Tenthredinidae.